This is a long non-coding RNA of Acinonyx jubatus (cheetah), 2216 nucleotides long. RefSeq lists it as uncharacterized. The record is from RefSeq and is a predicted model, not a curated record. NCBI's taxonomy places the organism in Eukaryota, Metazoa, Chordata, Mammalia, Carnivora, Felidae. The transcript is spliced from 5 exons.
AAAGCGUUUCAAUUACUGAACUGACACUCUUUUUCCCUUGCAUGUGCCUAAUUGGACGCCUUUAUUACCCGAGAUGACUGUGGAGGUCGCGAGACUUGCCUUAGAUGUCCCCCACGGGCACAGUGCGGCUUCCUCCACAUGGUGAGACAGAUGGGCACCGAGAACUCCCAAGUUUCGAAGAGCAUGACUUCCUGGACUUGAGGAACAGAGAGAGAACGUGAGUGGGGGAGGGACAGAGAGAGAGGGAGACACAGAAUCCGAAGCUGGCUCCAGACUCCGAGCUGUCAGCACAGAGCCGGACGCGGGGCUUGAACUCACAGACCACGAGAUCAUGACCUGAGCUGAAGUCAGACAACUAACUGAGCCAUCCAGGCGCCCCAAGCAGUGAGAACAAUUAAGAUGUAAUCUCUUAGCAACUCUGAAGUUCGAAUACAUCGUUACGGACCAUGAUCACAAUGCUGUGCAUUUCAUCUCCAGAACUUACUUAUCUACCAACUUUCUCACCUCCUGUGUUUUCAAUCGGUGCAUCCCUGAACUCACCAUGCUGGGUGCAUCUGUUGAUGAGGAAGACGGAGAGGAAGAGGAGCAAAAUGGAGAGACAGCUGCAGGUGGCAGCAAUUAUGGAUCUGGUGACUGGUGGGAGAGGAGCAGGUCACACAAUCAGUUUGGCUGCCCAGACACCCUGAUCUGCAUGCGGCAGGACAGUCAUCAGCAGCUAGACAAUCCGGCUUCUAAAGCCUCCAGCUGCUGCUUCCGAGCUGGACCUUCCGAUGUCUUAGGGGAGUGAAUCUGACUUUCCCUUUCCCCAUUCAAAGCGAGGAUGGGAAUAGUAGCUACUGACUGCACUGCAUGGUGGGGGGCGGGGGGGUAACCAGGGGGGCACUCCCAGAGAGGGCCUCGCCCAAGGGAAAUUCCCAAUCAGUGUGUCAGCCAUAUCAAUAAUAAUGAAGAUUUAUGGGGCGCCCGGGUGGCUCAAUUGGUUGAGCAACCGACUUCGGCGCAGGCCAUGAUCUCACAGUUCGUGGGUUCAAGCCCCGCGUCAGGCUCUGUGCUGACAUCUCACAGCCUGGAUCCUGCUUCAGAUUCUGUGUCUCCCCCUCUCUCUGCCCCUCCUCUGCUCAUGCUCUGUCUCUUUCUGUCUCUCAAAAAUAAAUACAUGUUUAAAAAUAUUAAAAAAAAAAAAAAGUCCCACAGCCGGGAUGGGCUUCAAGUCCUGGGAUGUCUAACCCUUCAGGCCAGGUGGCCCAGGGUCCGGGCAGCUCUGUGCUGGCCACUGGGUUUGGAAACCCCAGAGAAGUGAGCUCACAGUCUGGGCAGAUAUGCGUUUCCCCACAUAACGGCGAUGCUGGCAGAGGCAAGUCCCAUCAGGCAUGAAUGGAAGUCCCAACUCUCUCCCAGUUCAAGGGUUGUUUAAAUGUUAUACACCCCUGGGAUAUUAUUCAGGAAAUCCUACCAUCUGCAACAGCCUAUGAAACCUGGAGGGCAUUAUGCUAAGGGACAUGAACCAAAGGCAAACACUACAUGAUUGGAUUCCACUUACACUUGGAAUCUAAAAAAUUAAAAAAAAAAAAAUUUUUUUUUUAAAUUGAACUCAUAGAAGCAGAGAGUAGAUGGUUGCCAGGGGCUGAGGGCGGGGUAAGUGAGGAGAAGCUUCCAGUUAAAAGAUGAAUAAGGAUUCCUGGGUGGCUCAGUCGGUUAAGCAUCUGACUUCAGCUUAGGUCAUGAGUUCGAGCCCCACAUCGGGCUCUCUGCUGACAGCUCAGAGCCUGGAACCCGCUUUGGAUUCUGUGUCUCCCUCUCUCUCUGCCCCUCCCCCUCUCAUGCUCUGUCUCUCUCUCUCUCUCUUUGUCAAAAAUGAAUAAACUUAAAAAAAAAACUUUAAAAAAAAAGGAGUAAGAGUAUAACAAGUUUUGAGAGAAAUCCAGAGGUGACCCAGGAUGUGUAUAGUGAUUAUUCAAGUUCAUAAAAUACAUUACUUUCCUUGGUAUUCACUUUUUGGGGCAACAGGAACGCCAAUCAGGAGAAAUAUGUUAAUGCAAAUUCGUAACUGUUUAAAUCUAAUAUCUAACAUAUACGCGUUUUAAGUUAAAAUGGCACAUGAUAAGCAAUUUUAUUGCCAAUCACAUGAAGUUUUCCCUUUACGUGAGAUCUUGAAUUUACAAUGAACGUUUCCUGGCUACCAGGAACAGUAUUUUUGAAUUAUCUAGAUAUGUCUU